This 25-nucleotide non-coding RNA is filed under the name Rattus norvegicus (Norway rat). The record is from RNAcentral. Lineage: Eukaryota; Metazoa; Chordata; Mammalia; Rodentia; Muridae.
UCCACUCCCUGACCUACUAACCCUC